Molecule: non-coding RNA, 1300 nt
Organism: Lolium perenne
Lineage: Eukaryota; Viridiplantae; Streptophyta; Magnoliopsida; Poales; Poaceae
Source: RefSeq, a predicted model, not a curated record
UGUAAGUCUGUUGCAAUCCCUGUCUUCUCAGGGCUUUGACGGUGCGGUAUCGCCGUGUGGGGUCACCACCGACCACCCUCUCUCCGCACCGCAAUUUCCCCUCUAUCCCCUCCUUCAUUCUCCGUUCCUUCCUCAGCAGCUCCCUCGACGACGGUGGCAAGGCGCCGGUCGUGCGCGGCUCCGUCGAUCCCACCCGUCUGCGUUGAGCCCGUGUUCGAGGGCGGCUGCCGGUGCACUCCGGCGAUCCGGCCACCACCACGCGCCGGCGGGCGACGCAGACCAUGGUGGGUUACGGCUGCCGUCGUCCUCCAUGUGCAGCUCUCUCCAUGGGGAGCCCUCCUUCCCGGUGUCCUCCACGGGCCGCUCCGCCGCCGCAGGCCUCCGACGACCUUGCGGGGAACAACUCCAACCCUGCGCGGCCGAUCUUCAGGCCUAGGAGCGGCCUUUCUCCACUUUCCAGUUGCAAGGUAAAAGAUGGAUUUAUUGGCCGGUUUGCAUUCAGAUCAUGUAUAAGUAUAUCGAGCAGACUUUCUAUUGUUAAUGUGCAUUGGCCAUGUUCAAAUCGUAAUUGAACACUCAACAUGUACACUGCCCAUGUGCCUUUUUUACUACAAGAACUUUCCAACUAUAGGAUGUCACUAUAACAAUAUGUGAUUCAGUUGGGAGGUUCUGCAUUUGCUGCACAAUAUGAAUGAGCCGUGGUUUAUGAAAUUUCAAGUUAAUUAUUCAUUUCCAGGCACUUUGGAAACGCCACUUUUCAUGUUUGGUGAAGCAAGAAACUAUAUGCAUUGUAUAUUAUGUGAGAAAAUUUAGAGAAAUAUUUUGUGGAACUUGCAACCAAUAGUUAAUCGAUCAACGCGAUGGCUCACUAACGCCGCAAACUGUACCAUUCUUUGUGGAGCUAUUCUCUACAACAUAAGAUUUGCUCAGUGAUAUUCACUAUAUGCUGAAGUUUUACCUGAAUUAUUUACUUUUAUUGAUAUCUGUUUCAAGGAAAAAGCUGUGGAGAAUUGAACGGAUACUCCAAGAAGUAUUGUUUUGGUCACUGGGAUACUCCAAGAAGUAUUGUUUUAGUCACUGCAGCUACUAUAGAAAUUAUAUGUUAUAGAAAUACUAGAUUAGGGUUGAGUGGAUGCAAGUUUUAUUGUUUCCCCCUAUUUCAUUUUAGCCACAGUCAGCUUCUACAAGAAUGCCAUGAAGUCUCUUUAAUUUUUCUCACUGCAUGGUCUGAUCUUUGUUCACAUUUUCUUUGGCUGUCGUUGGAAAAUGGAAUAAAAUGAUGGACAAAGUUAUGUGGUUA